Molecule: ribosomal RNA, 253 nt
Filed under: uncultured bacterium
Lineage: Bacteria
Description: partial 16S ribosomal RNA
Rfam family: Bacterial small subunit ribosomal RNA
Source: RNAcentral
UACGUAGGCAGCAAGCGUUGUUCGGAGUUACUGGGCGUAAAGGGUGUGUAGGCGGUUCUUUAAGUUUGGUGUGAAAUCUCCCGGCUCAACCGGGAGGGUGCGCCGAAUACUGAGGGACUCGAGUGCGGGAGAGGAAAGUGGAAUUCCUGGUGUAGCGGUGAAAUGCGUAGAUAUCAGGAGGAACACCGGUGGUGUAGACGGCUUUCUGGACCGUAACUGACGCUGAGGAGCGAAAGCGUGGGGAGCAAACAGG